AUAAAUGAAGCGGUCUGGAAAGGCCCGCCAAAGACGGUAACAGCCCGGUAGUUGAAAUGGCUUUCCCUCCAGAGUGGAUCCUGAGUACGGCGGAACACGUGAAAUUCCGUCGGAAUCCGGGAGGACCAUCUCCCAAGGCUAAAUACUCCCUAGUGACCGAUAGUGAACCAGUACCGUGAGGGAAAGGUGAAAAGCACCCCGGAAGGGGAGUGAAACAGUUCCUGAAACCGUGUGCCUACAAGUAGUUAGAGCCCGUUAAUGGGUGAUAGCGUGCCUUUUGUAGAAUGAACCGGCGAGUUACGAUUUGUUGCAAGGUUAAGCGGAAAAAGCGGAGCCGUAGCGAAAGCGAGUCUGAAUAGGGCGCAUAAGUAACAGGUCGUAGACCCGAAACCAGGUGAUCUACCCAUGUCCAGGAUGAAGGUAAGGUAAUACUUACUGGAGGUCCGAACCCACGCACGUUGAAAAGUGCGGGGAUGAGGUGUGGGUAGCGGAGAAAUUCCAAUCGAACUUGGAGAUAGCUGGUUCUCUCCGAAAUAGCUUUAGGGCUAGCCUCGAGGUAAAGAGUCAUGGAGGUAGAGCACUGUUUGGACUAGGGGCCCUUCUCGGGUUACCGAAUUCAGAUAAACUCCGAAUGCCAUGUACUUAUACUCGGGAGUCAGACUGCGAGUGAUAAGAUCCGUAGUCGAAAGGGAAACAGCCCAGACCACCAGUUAAGGUCCCCAAAUAUAUGUUAAGUGGAAAAGGAUGUGGGGUUGCUUAGACAACCAGGAUGUUGGCUUAGAAGCAGCCACCAUUGAAAGAGUGCGUAAUAGCUCACUGGUCGAGUGACCCCGCGCCGAAAAUGUACCGGGGCUAAACAUAUUACCGAAACUGUGGAUGAACCUCUUUAGAGGUUCGUGGUAGGAGAGCGUUCUAAGGGCGGUGAAGUCAGACCGGAAGGACUGGUGGAGCGCUUAGAAGUGAGAAUGCCGGUAUGAGUAGCGAAAGAAGGGUGAGAAUCCCUUCCACCGAAUAUCUAAGGUUUCCUGAGGAAGGCUCGUCCGCUCAGGGUUAGUCGGGACCUAAGCCGAGGCCGAUAGGCGUAGGCGAUGGACAACAGGUAGAGAUUCCUGUACCAGUGCUAAUUGUUUAACCGAUGGGGUGACACAGAAGGAUAGGGAAUCGCACGAAUGGAAAUGUGCGUCCAAGCAGUGAGUGUGAGAAGUAGGCAAAUCCGCUUCUCGCGAAGCAUGAGCUGUGAUGGGGAAGGAAAUUAAGUACGGAAGUUCCUGAUUUCACGCUGUCAAGAAAAGCCUCUAGGAAGAGUAGUACUGCCCGUACCGCAAACCGACACAGGUAGAUGAGGAGAGAAUCCUAAGGUGAGCGAGAGAACUCUCGUUAAGGAACUCGGCAAAAUGACCCCGUAACUUCGGGAGAAGGGGUGCUCUAUUAGGGUGCAAGCCCGAGAGAGCCGCAGUGAAUAGGCCCAGGCGACUGUUUAGCAAAAACACAGGUCUCUGCAAAACCGUAAGGUGACGUAUAGGGGCUGACGCCUGCCCGGUGCUGGAAGGUUAAGAGGAGUGCUUAGCUUCGGCGAAGGUACGAAUUGAAGCCCCAGUAAACGGCGGCCGUAACUAUAACGGUCCUAAGGUAGCGAAAUUCCUUGUCGGGUAAGUUCCGACCCGCACGAAAGGCGCAACGAUCUGGGCACUGUCUCAACGAGAGACUCGGUGAAAUUAUAGUACCUGUGAAGAUGCAGGUUACCCGCGACAGGACGGAAAGACCCCGUGGAGCUUUACUGCAACCUGAUAUGGAAUGUUUGUACCGCUUGUACAGGAUAGGUAGGAGCCGAAGAGACGUGUGCGCUAGCAUACGAGGAGGCAAUGGUGGGAUACUACCCUGGCUGUAUGACCAUUCUAACCCGCCACGCUUAGCGCGUGGGGAGACAGUGUCAGGUGGGCAGUUUGACUGGGGCGGUCGCCUCCUAAAGAGUAACGGAGGCGCCCAAAGGUUCCCUC
RNAcentral lists this ribosomal RNA (1997 nucleotides) under Listeria monocytogenes. RNAcentral describes it as "partial 23S ribosomal RNA". It matches the Rfam family "Bacterial large subunit ribosomal RNA", at positions 329 to 2323 of the family's 2925-position model. The record is from RNAcentral. Lineage: Bacteria; Bacillati; Bacillota; Bacilli; Caryophanales; Listeriaceae.